AUUGAACGCUGGCGGCAUGCUUUACACAUGCAAGUCGAACGGUAACAGGCCUUCGGGUGCUGACGAGUGGCGAACGGGUGAGUAAUGCAUCGGAACGUACCCAGAGGUGGGGGAUAACGCAGCGAAAGCUGUGCUAAUACCGCAUGUGAUCUGAGGAUGAAAGCGGGGGACCGAGCAGCAAUGUUUGGCCUCGCGCCUUUGGAGCGGCCGAUGUCGGAUUAGCUAGUUGGUGGGGUAAAGGCCUACCAAGGCGACGAUCCGUAGCUGGUCUGAGAGGACGACCAGCCACACUGGGACUGAGACACGGCCCAGACUCCUACGGGAGGCAGCAGUGGGGAAUUUUGGACAAAGGGCGCGAGCCUGAUCCAGCAAUGCCGCGUGCGGGAAGAAGGCCUUCGGGUUGUAAACCGCUUUUGGCAGGAACGAAACGGUGUCCGCUAAUACCGGGCGCUAAUGACGGUACCUGCAGAAUAAGCACCGGCUAACUACGUG
Molecule: ribosomal RNA, 492 nt
Filed under: uncultured bacterium
Lineage: Bacteria
Description: partial 16S ribosomal RNA
Rfam family: Bacterial small subunit ribosomal RNA
Source: RNAcentral